CGAAAUAACCUAUACUACGUCGUUUCAAUAGUUCCCUUCCUAUUUCCCUUCCCUUCCCUUCCCCGCCCCUGCUCUACCCUAAAUCUAAAACAACUUUCUGUCUCUCCGUGCGUGCCGCCAGUGCUCCAUCUCUCAUCUCUGUGCUCACCUCCAACCCUAACGCCCUCCUCAAAGUGCCUCGCCUCUAAGCUCCAUCCACUUCCGGCGGCGGUUCCACCAUUCACUGUCCAGCC
Molecule: long non-coding RNA, 233 nt
Filed under: Manihot esculenta (cassava)
Lineage: Eukaryota; Viridiplantae; Streptophyta; Magnoliopsida; Malpighiales; Euphorbiaceae
Description: long non-coding RNA (MESC_LNC000113)
Source: RNAcentral